UACGUAGGGCGCGAGCGUUGUCCGGAUUUAUUGGGCGUAAAGGGCUCGUAGGCGGCGUGUCGCGUCGGGAGUGAAAGCCCACGGCUUAACCGUGGAAGUGCAUGGGAAACUGGAAAGCUUGAGUACUUAAGAGGAUCGCGGAAUUCCCGGUGUAGAGGUGAAAUUCGUAGAUAUCGGGAGGAACACCAGUGGCGAAGGCGGCGAUCUGGGAAGAUACUGACGCUGAGGUGCGAAAGCGUGGGGAGCAAACAGG
This 253-nucleotide ribosomal RNA is filed under the name uncultured bacterium. RNAcentral's name for it is "partial 16S ribosomal RNA". It matches the Rfam family "Bacterial small subunit ribosomal RNA", at positions 524 to 776 of the family's 1533-position model. The record is from RNAcentral.